UACAGAGGGUGCAAGCGUUGUUCGGAAUUAUUGGGCGUAAAGCGCGUGUAGGCGGCUUUGCAAGUCGGGUGUGAAAGCCCUCAGCUCAACUGAGGAAGUGCCUUUGAAACUGUCUGGCUUGAGGCCGGGAGAGGGUAGCGGAAUUCCCAGUGUAGCGGUGAAAUGCGUAGAUAUUGGGAGGAACACCAGUGGCGAAGGCGGCUACCUGGACCGGUUCUGACGCUGAGGCGCGAAAGCGUGGGUAGCAAACAGG
Molecule: ribosomal RNA, 253 nt
Filed under: uncultured bacterium
Lineage: Bacteria
Description: partial 16S ribosomal RNA
Rfam family: Bacterial small subunit ribosomal RNA
Source: RNAcentral